This 155-nucleotide unclassified non-coding RNA is filed under the name soil metagenome. Its description in RNAcentral is "partial internal transcribed spacer 1". The record is from RNAcentral.
GUGAUUAAAUCGAGCGUGUCUUCAUUGACCGCUCACCCUUCUCACCAUCCACAUACACCUGAGCCACUGUUUAGGCCUGAGCCGGUUUUCCGGUCCAGGUUAUCAAUUUCAUACAAACUCUAGUCUUAUGAAUGUAAACGUUUUAAUAACAUAAU